AGCCUAGUGGACAUGGCAUCUGCUCGGUAAGCGGAACACUGUGGGUUCGAUUCCCAU
Molecule: transfer RNA, 57 nt
Filed under: Cordylochernes scorpioides
Lineage: Eukaryota; Metazoa; Arthropoda; Arachnida; Pseudoscorpiones; Chernetidae
Description: tRNA-Thr
Rfam family: tRNA
About the family: Transfer RNA (tRNA) molecules are approximately 80 nucleotides in length. Their secondary structure includes four short double-helical elements and three loops (D, anti-codon, and T loops).
Source: RNAcentral